GGAUGAUUAGCUUAGUGGUAGAGCGCUUCCUUCACACGGAAGAGGUCGCCAGUCCAAUUCUGGCAUCAUCCA
This 72-nucleotide transfer RNA is filed under the name Treponema sp. RNAcentral describes it as "tRNA-Val". It matches the Rfam family "tRNA". From Rfam's summary of the family: Transfer RNA (tRNA) molecules are approximately 80 nucleotides in length. Lineage: Bacteria; Pseudomonadati; Spirochaetota; Spirochaetia; Treponematales; Treponemataceae. The record is from RNAcentral.